RNA transcript from Trachemys scripta elegans, 2106 nucleotides. It is a transcript of the gene named membrane associated ring-CH-type finger 1, with no coding region annotated. The transcript has 9 exons. Lineage: Eukaryota; Metazoa; Chordata; Testudines; Emydidae. The record is from RefSeq and is a predicted model, not a curated record.
GUAGUCCCAGCGCGGGAGACCGCCAGCAAUGGGAGAAGUUCAAUGGGCAGAAACAAAGAGAAGAGCAAGGAAGUCGAGAAUUUCAGACAUUGAGAAGGGAUAAGUGGAAGGAGAAAAUGUUGGGCUGGUGUCAAGCGAUAGCUCGUAACCCUCACAGACUCCCAAACAUCACAAGAACACCCGAGGUCUCAGGUGAUGCUUCACAUACCUCUACCUUGCAUGACAAAUCCCCAGGGCGCUCUACAAGUCGAUCAAGUAACAUUUCAAAGGCAAGCAGUCCUACAACAGGAACAGCUCCUAGGAGUCAGUCACGGUUGUCUGUAUGCCCUUCUACUCAGGACAUCUGUAGGAUCUGUCACUGUGAGGGAGAUGAUGAAAGCCCCCUCAUCACACCAUGUCGCUGUACAGGGACCCUACGCUUUGUUCAUCAGGCCUGCCUGCACCAAUGGAUUAAAAGCUCAGAUACACGCUGUUGUGAACUCUGCAAGUAUGACUUUAUAAUGGAGACCAAGCUCAAACCUCUCCGGAAGUGGGAGAAACUACAGAUGACAACAAGUGAAAGGAGGAAGAUAGUCUGUUCAGUUACAUUCCAUAUUAUUGCUAUUACCUGUGUUGUUUGGUCGUUGUAUGUUUUAAUAGAUCGGACUGCUGAGGAAAUUAAGCAAGGCAAUGACAAUGGUGUCCUUGAAUGGCCAUUUUGGACAAAACUGGUUGUGGUAGCAAUUGGGUUCACUGGAGGCCUAGUCUUCAUGUAUGUACAGUGUAAAGUCUACAUUCAGUUGUGGCGCAGAUUGAAGGCUUACAAUCGAGUGAUCUUUGUUCAAAACUGCCCGGACACUGCCAAAAAACUGGAGAAGAAUUCUUCAUGCAUUCAGAACUCUGAAAUCAAGGAUGCUGUGGUAGUGCCAGUAUCACAGACAGGUACAAACUCUCAGCAUUCAGCUGAAGAAAUGACCUCUGAGGUCAUGCCAGUUUGACAGAGGUGGCAUUGUUUCUUCAAUGACAGUGUGUGUGUGUGUGUUUUUUACACCACAGCUACUACAAUCAUGCAUUUUAAAUAAAAACAAAAAACCCUGACCAGGGAAAUGGAUACAGUGAAGCAACAUGCAUUACUUAUGGAAUGUGACCGUUUGUGAAAUAGUUUCGCAGUCAGCCAGGUGUAGUGGAAAUGUAGAAAGCACAACAGAGAACAAUUCUCACAGACAUGACAAAAUGACCUUUUUAACUUGAUGAUCAGGAGGAAUUGAAAACAGACUUGUUCUGUUACAGAAAACAUCAACAACUUUCUAUUUGUUACCACUAGGCAUCUUAUUCGCUAAUCAUCUUAAAAAUACACUUCAGGGUGACACUACUAAAAAGUCAUUUGCAUUAAACUUAAAUCAACAAAGUAAACAGACCUGCACCAUGUCACUCUCUUUCUAAAGUAAUCGUUGAAUGGCUACAGUGGAGCCUGAAUGUUUCGGCAGCCAUGUGAGCUGAGGAUGUGUGUUUAUUUUUCUUUUUGCAAAAUAAGCAAUUUCAACAAGUAGUCUUCAAACUGCCUCAAACACUUUCUUGGUCCCAUAAAAUACAAGUAUUAUUUAGCGACAAGGCUAAAAUUAUUGGCUCUACAUCUGGAACAACACUUUUAGUGCUGCUUAUCUUAAAAUAAAAUAAAGACUUGUUAAGUGGUGAAUUAACAUGAACUCUCUGCCUAUAUAUAUAGAAAGGAUAUAUAGAAAAGUUUUUCUCCAAAAUGCAAAAAGACGAAGUAUAAUCAGAGGCAUUACAGGUUGAAGUAUGCAGUUCAUUACAAAAGAAUAUGAAAUGAAUUUAUACCCUCACACCCCUAGGAAUGACAGUUAAAGUGUGGGGGGGGCAGAGGUAGAAUUUUUUAAGAGUUCAUGCUUCAACAAUUAAGGUAUCACAAAAGAGCAUACCUGGACCUAUUAAAAGAUGCCAGUAUCGCCCUGUUCCGACUUGACUGGAUAGUUCUCCUCUGUUCAGGAUAAGACUGUGCGAUUAGGGAUUCAACAGUUCAGUUGUUAAUUUUGUGUUUUGAGCAUUUUCAUGUAAAACUGAAGUGUGAAUAACAUUAAAGAGUGCAAUAGAUAAAUAAAUGUAGAA